RNAcentral lists this ribosomal RNA (423 nucleotides) under uncultured bacterium. Its description in RNAcentral is "bacterial SSU rRNA". It matches the Rfam family "Bacterial small subunit ribosomal RNA", at positions 355 to 774 of the family's 1533-position model. The record is from RNAcentral.
UGGGGAAUAUUGCGCAAUGGGCGAAAGCCUGACGCAGCCACGCCGCGUGAGCGAUGAAGGCCUUCGGGUUGUAAAGCUCUGUGGGGAGAGAAGAAGAAAGCAAGUGAAGAGCGGGCCUUGACGGUAUCUCCUUAGCAAGCACCGGCUAACUCCGUGCCAGCAGCCGCGGUAAUACGGAGGGUGCAAACGUUGCUGGGAAUCAUUGGGCGUAAAGCGCACGUAGGCGGCGAAGCAAGUCGGGUGUGAAAGCCCUGGGCUCAACCCAGGAAGUGCAUUCGAAACUAUUUCGCUUGAAUCUCGGAGGGGGUCAGAGAAUUCCCGGUGUACCCAUGAAAUUCGUAGAUAUCGGGAGGAAUACCAGUGGCGAACACGCUGACCUGGACUCAGCUUGACGCUAAGGUGCGAAAGCGCGGGGAACAAACA